UGGGGAAUAUUGCACAAUGGGGGAAACCCUGAUGCAGCCAUGCCGCGUGUGUGAAGAAGGCCUUCGGGUUGUAAAGCUCUUUUGUCAGGGAAGAAACGGUGAGAGCUAAUAUCUCUUGCUAAUGACGGUACCUGAAGAAUAAGCACCGGCUAACUACGUGC
RNAcentral lists this ribosomal RNA (161 nucleotides) under uncultured bacterium. RNAcentral's name for it is "partial 16S ribosomal RNA". It matches the Rfam family "Bacterial small subunit ribosomal RNA", at positions 355 to 508 of the family's 1533-position model. The record is from RNAcentral.